GCGCGGGUGGCGGAAUUGGUAGACGCGCAAGGUUGAGGGCCUUGUGGGAAAUAUAUUCCCGUGGAGGUUCAAGUCCUCUCCCGCGCA
RNAcentral lists this transfer RNA (87 nucleotides) under bacterium. RNAcentral describes it as "tRNA-Leu". It matches the Rfam family "tRNA". From Rfam's summary of the family: Transfer RNA (tRNA) molecules are approximately 80 nucleotides in length. The record is from RNAcentral.